This 451-nucleotide ribosomal RNA is filed under the name uncultured bacterium. Its description in RNAcentral is "partial 16S ribosomal RNA". It matches the Rfam family "Bacterial small subunit ribosomal RNA", at positions 29 to 523 of the family's 1533-position model. The record is from RNAcentral.
AACGAACGCUGGCGGCAGGCCUAAAACAUGCAAGUCGAACGGGUGUAGCAAUACAUCAGUGGCGCACGGGUGAGUAACGCGUGGGAACAUGCCCCUUAGUACGGGACAACGUCGGGAAACUGACGCUAAUACCGUAUAAUAUCUCCGGAUCAAAGAUUUAUCGCUGAGGGAGUGGCCCGCGUCUGAUUAGCUAGUUGGUGAGGUAAUGGCUCACCAAGGCUACGAUCAGUAGCAGGUCUGAGAGGAUGAUCUGCCACACUGGGACUGAGACACGGCCCAGACUCCUACGGGAGGCAGCAGUUAGGAAUAUUGGGCAAUGGGCGAAAGCCUGAUCCAGCCAUGCCGCGUGUGUGAUGAAGGCCUUAGGGUUGUAAAGCACUUUCGUUGGGGAUGAUAAUGACCGUACCCAGAGAAGAAGCACCGGCUAACUUCGUGCCAGCAGCCGCGGUAA